This 71-nucleotide transfer RNA is filed under the name Marmota monax (woodchuck). RNAcentral describes it as "tRNA.Ala". It matches the Rfam family "tRNA". Rfam says of the family: Transfer RNA (tRNA) molecules are approximately 80 nucleotides in length. Lineage: Eukaryota; Metazoa; Chordata; Mammalia; Rodentia; Sciuridae. The record is from RNAcentral.
GGGGUUGUGGCUUAGCGGUAGAGCACUCACCUAGCACAUGUGUGGACCUGGGUUCAAUCCUCAGCACCACA